CUACCAUGCAAGUCGAGCGAUGAAACCCCUUCGGGGGUGGAUUAGCGGCGGACGGGUGAGUAACACGUGGGUAACCUGCCUCAAAGUGGGGGAUAGCCUUCCGAAAGGAAGAUUAAUACCGCAUAAAGCCAAGUUUCACAUGGAAUUUGGAUGAAAGGAGUAAUUCGCUUUGAGAUGGACCCGCGGCGCAUUAGUUAGUUGGUGGGGUAAUGGCCUACCAAGACAGCGAUGCGUAGCCGACCUGAGAGGGUGAUCGGCCACAUUGGAACUGAGAUACGGUCCAGACUCCUACGGGAGGCAGCAGUGGGGAAUAUUGCACAAUGGGCGAAAGCCUGAUGCAGCAACGCCGCGUGAGUGAUGAAGGUCUUCGGAUUGUAAAGCUCUGUCUUUUGGGACGAUAAUGACGGUACCAAAGGAGGAAGCCACGGCUAACUACGUGCCAGCAGCCGCGGUAAUACGUAGGUGGCAAGCGUUGUCCGGAUUUACUGGGCGUAAAGGGUGCGUAGGCGGAUGUUUAAGUGAGAUGUGAAAUACCCGGGCUUAACUUGGGUGCUGCAUUUCAAACUGGAUAUCUAGAGUGCAGGAGAGGAGAAUGGAAUUCCUAGUGUAGCGGUGAAAUGCGUAGAGAUUAGGAAGAACACCAGUGGCGAAGGCGAUUCUCUGGACUGUAACUGACGCUGAGGCACGAAAGCGUGGGUAGCAAACAGGAUUAGAUACCCUGGUAGUCCACGCCGUAAAC
RNAcentral lists this ribosomal RNA (739 nucleotides) under uncultured bacterium. RNAcentral's name for it is "bacterial SSU rRNA". It matches the Rfam family "Bacterial small subunit ribosomal RNA", at positions 49 to 807 of the family's 1533-position model. The record is from RNAcentral.